RNAcentral lists this ribosomal RNA (556 nucleotides) under Botryosphaeria dothidea. RNAcentral describes it as "eukaryotic LSU rRNA". The stretch from base 182 to 335 matches the Rfam family "5.8S ribosomal RNA". The record is from RNAcentral. Lineage: Eukaryota; Fungi; Ascomycota; Dothideomycetes; Botryosphaeriales; Botryosphaeriaceae.
UAAAGACUGGAUCCUGGCUCGGCCCGAUCCUCCCACCCUUUGUGUACCUACCUCUGUUGCUUUGGCGGGCCGCGGUCCUCCGCGGCCGCCCCCCUCCCCGGGGGGGUGGCCAGCGCCCGCCAGAGGACCAUCAAACUCCAGUCAGUAAACGAUGCAGUCUGAAAAACAUUUAAUAAACUAAAACUUUCAACAACGGAUCUCUUGGUUCUGGCAUCGAUGAAGAACGCAGCGAAAUGCGAUAAGUAAUGUGAAUUGCAGAAUUCAGUGAAUCAUCGAAUCUUUGAACGCACAUUGCGCCCUUUGGUAUUCCGAAGGGCAUGCCUGUUCGAGCGUCAUUACAACCCUCAAGCUCUGCUUGGUAUUGGGCACCGUCCUUUGCGGGCGCGCCUCAAAGACCUCGGCGGUGGCGUCUUGCCUCAAGCGUAGUAGAACAUACAUCUCGCUUCGGAGCGCAGGGCGUCGCCCGCCGGACGAACCUUCUGAACUUUUCUCAAGGUUGACCUCGGAUCAGGUAGGGAUACCCGCUGAACUUAAGCAUAUCAAUAAGACGGAGGAA